This 450-nucleotide ribosomal RNA is filed under the name uncultured bacterium. RNAcentral describes it as "partial 16S ribosomal RNA". It matches the Rfam family "Bacterial small subunit ribosomal RNA", at positions 354 to 796 of the family's 1533-position model. The record is from RNAcentral.
GUGGGGAAUAUUCCGCAAUGGACGAAAGUCUGACGGAGCAACGCCGCGUGAGUGAUGAAGGUUUUCGGACUGUAAAGCUCUGUUGUUUAGGACGAAAGUGCCUGUUGCGAAUAGUUACAGGUAUUGACGGUACUGAACGAGGAAGCCACGGCUAACUACGUGCCAGCAGCCGCGGUAAUACGUAGGUGGCAAGCGUUGUCCGGAAUUAUUGGGCGUAAAGAGCAUGUAGGCGGGAAUCUAAGUCUGUUGUGAAAAUGCGGGGCUCAACCCCGUAUUGCGAUGGAAACUGGGUUGCUUGAGUGCAGGAGAGGAAAGGGGAAUUCCCAGUGUAGCGGUGAAAUGCGUAGAUAUUGGGAGGAACACCAGUGGCGAAGGCGCCUUUCUGGACUGUGUCUGACGCUGAGAUGCGAAAGCCAGGGUAGCGAACGGGAUUAGAUACCCCGGUAGUCC